This 102-nucleotide non-coding RNA is filed under the name Bacillus sp. (in: firmicutes). Its description in RNAcentral is "Bacillus sp. Glycine sequence". It matches the Rfam family "Glycine riboswitch aptamer". Rfam says of the family: This family represents the bacterial glycine riboswitch. The record is from RNAcentral. Lineage: Bacteria; Bacillati; Bacillota; Bacilli; Caryophanales; Bacillaceae.
AUGACAGCAAGGGGAGAGACCCGGGCGAAGAAAUGCGCAUCCGGGCGCCGAAGGAGCAAACUGCGGAGUGAAUCUCUCAGGCAAAAGAACUCUUGCUCGACG